AUUGAACGCUGGCGGCAGGCCUAACACAUGCAAGUCGAGCGGAUGAAGGGAGCUUGCUCCUGGAUUCAGCGGCGGACGGGUGAGUAAUGCCUAGGAAUCUGCCUGGUAGUGGGGGAUAGCGUCCGGAAACGGGCGCUAAUACCGCAUACGUCCUGAGGGAGAAAGUGGGGGAUCUUCGGACCUCACGCUAUCAGAUGAGCCUAGGUCGGAUUAGCUAGUUGGUGGGGUAAAGGCCUACCAAGGCGACGAUCCGUAACUGGUCUGAGAGGAUGAUCAGUCACACUGGAACUGAGACACGGUCCAGACUCCUACGGGAGGCAGCAGUGGGGAAUAUUGGACAAUGGGCGAAAGCCUGAUCCAGCCAUGCCGCGUGUGUGAAGAAGGUCCUCGGAUUGUAAAGCACUUUAAGUUGGGAGGAAGGGCAGUAAGUUAAUACCUUGCUGUUUUGACGUUACCAACAGAAUAAGCACCGGCUAACUUCGUG
RNAcentral lists this ribosomal RNA (484 nucleotides) under uncultured bacterium. RNAcentral's name for it is "partial 16S ribosomal RNA". It matches the Rfam family "Bacterial small subunit ribosomal RNA", at positions 30 to 507 of the family's 1533-position model. The record is from RNAcentral.